AGACCCAUAUUUUCAUCUUCAGUGGUCACAUCUUUUGGAACAUAAAAUAAGUAAAAAAAAAUUGAUAUUAUUUUUCACUUAUUAUAUGAUUUCCAAUUUCCCUGAAUCUAUUAAAGGAUACUCCCCCCCCACCCCUGUAAUCACAUCAUCACAAUUCUCAUUACCUUCUCAUGGAUACUUUGCUAAUCUAGUAAGUAUUCCCAAGGAGCCUUCACAAGUACUAAAAGAAUCUGACAAAUGAUUGUUUUAUCACACACCCACAAAUCACUGAUAGUUUUCUAUUCCCAUAUACAUUUAACUAGGUAUUUUUGAGGUCAUGUUUUCAAAUUGUCCAAAAUAACUAGAUUUUUGCCCAAAGAAGGAAUAAAUUCAAUGAAAUAAGAAAAAAAGAGUAAAACUUCUUGUAUAGAAUGGGUUGCAUUCUAAAAGGAAAAUGAGGAUCAAUGUAGAUAAAAAUAUUUACCCAAGAAGCCCAGCUGGAGAUAAAUUGACCACUUCUCUUUUUAGAGGUGUUAUCUAUGGUAAUUAUCUAGUUCAGAGCUGCCCGACAUGUACAGAACCCAUAAUGACUAUAGCAUAAAUAGAUGGAUAGAUUGAAUGUAUAAAUGAAUGAAUGAAUAUUAAGAAAAUCUUGCUGCCUCUAAACCCGCUUCCUGCUGAGCUGUAAAGAACAUACCUUUUUUUUUUUUUUUUCCUGUUUACUGACUUAGUUGGUUACAAUGCCUACACACCCAGAUGUAUCUUGUAAAUGUUUGCAUCUACUCAUGAUAAGGUAUUGGGGGGAAUUAAUUUGAAGUGGUACUAGCAGUGUGGCCAGUGAGUCCUGAGAAGGCUGACCACAUGGAAGAGCCAGAAAAGGAAAUGAUUUCCAGCCCAGCCAUCAAGAUUUCUCUGCCAAAGUUUUCUAUGCUACCCUCAUGACAUGGAAGUAUGAGGUUAAGCUUAUAAAUACAACAAUGGGCAUAGAGGAGAAAAAUGAAGAUCAUUUUUAGAACUGCAUAGACUUUAACAAAAUCAAUAUUGAAAACAAGGAGGCUUGAAAAUAUUCCAUAGGACACAAAUAAAUGCAAUAUUAAGACUGAAAUGGAGGCCUGAGAUGAAUCCCAAUGCACUGCCUUAGAGUGGGGACUUGGUUUACAAUCUGAGCCAAUGCAUAUUUUCAUUAAAAUUCAAAUAAAAUUUCAUUUGAAGACCCAAGGCUCAAAUUACUUAUUCUUCUGGAACUCCCUGCUCAUCAUUAUUUAAACAUUAGUGUUUAAUUUUUUAGUGAGAGAAAAUGAAUUAGACAUUUCAACUCCUCAAUGGAGAAAAACUUGUACGUUUUAAGGGGAUCUAAUGUUGAACAAUCUAAAUCAUCAUUAUCAUCAUCUUCAGUAUUAUCAUUGGUAUUGACCAGGUUUUACUGUGUGACUGAGAUGUUUAAAGUCCUUACUUGAGCCAUACCAUUGAAUCUUCCCAAAGCUGAAAGAGGUGAAUGUUAUCAUUCCUAUUUUAAGAUGAGAAAUCUGAGGCUUAAGGAAAUUAAAAAAAUUUUAUAGGCCACAAAACUCUCUACUUUGUGUUUGUGUGCCAGAGGCCAGCUCCGGCGUCCAGGGAGUGUACACUUUCCUGAUAGAAGAAGGAUGCACAUCUGCUUUUGCAGUGGAGACAGCCUCUUUGUCCCUUCUUUCAUGGUGCUGGACUGCUCAAAUUUUAUUGGCAUAAGUGGUUGAUUAUAUAGACAGUUUUUCUUUACAGAUUACAUCAUAUUGUUAAAAGUACGUUGGUCAACUAUUAGCUUGGUUUUUUGAUCACAUGGUACACUAGUGAUACAUCACAUUUUAAAAUCUUCAACUUAACUAAAUUUAAUGAGUACAAUUCAAGGACAAACAGGCACAGUACAUCGUGUGGGAAAGAGGAGACCCAGCACAAACCAUCUCAUGGCCAGCCAAUUCCCACAAGCUGAAGAAGUUGCAGACACGAAAAAUCCUGUCUUCAGACUAGUGUCUAUCUUCAAAGUGUCCUUGGCAGGGAAACAGUAUGAGAAAAUACAAAUCAACUUAGCCAGCUACCACUAAAAGUUUCUAAAAUCAAGGACAAGACUCACAGCUGGGUUUCUUUUGAUCAAGAAUAAUAUAUGUCUAACUUCUAUAAACCUCAUUAAAAUCCUAACUCUAAAGUUUACUGUAUAACUAGUUAGUAGAUAAACACUAUGUUCUAAUUAAGUUGGAUUUGAAUAGGGGAAAAUCUUUUAGGAUGAAAUUCUUAUUAUUGUUGUGACUUUGUUAAAUCACAAAUCACCACAGGAAAAUGAGAAUGGGAAAUAAGAUUAAUAAGUAAAUAAUCAGGAAAGACUGAGGAAAACUGAAUAACAAGUGAAUAACAGAAAAGACUAAGACAUCCAUGGAACAAUCCCCACUCAGCAACACAAAAUAGAAAUUAUUUCCUGGGAAAUUUAGUUUUCCACCUAUGUCAGCGGACGAGACUUAGGUCUUCUGGGGCCUGUCCUCAGAAUUGUGCCGUGCAGGCAGGCAUCCCCUUGUUUAGGAACCUGCCCUCGGAAUUGUACCAUGCAGACAGGCCCCUUUUCCUGAUUAGGAGCUUGCCCUUGGAACUGCACCGUUCAGGCAAGCGCCUUUUUCUGAUUAGGAGCCUGCCCUUGGAAUUGAACCAUUCGGCAAGCUCCCUUCCUUGGCUCCUUGUAUCUUCUCGGCUCCCCGCAUUUGUACUGUUUGGGUCAGGAUUAAACCUGGGAGGGAGGGAUGUAUGUGAGAAGCUCAGAUGAGCUGGAAACAGCUAGCUGCCAAAUGCUAGAGAAACCCAUUAAAGCAACAAGCCAAAAUGGAACCAAUAGUCAAGACUAAUCAUUUGCUGUGAUAGUAAAAGCAAGAUGCUAAACUAUAGAAAGUACUAACUCUCCUCUGUUCCAUUUCCCCCCAAGGAACAGCACAGUGGCAAAGGGGCUGGUGGAUCAGCACAGAUGCUGAGUUCAUCUCACAGUUGAAGAAACCUGGAACAGUAAUUUUAUGGUCCCUGGGGCUAGGUGCAGAGCAAGGGGAAAGAGGUGGGAUUGGAAAAGUACUUAAUACUGAUUCAAAGCAAGGUGAAGCAUCUUUAAGUUCCCCUCUACCUUCUCUUCCUUAAGGAGGCUUUAGCAGAGGAAAUUGAAGAAGGUUUUCUUUGUUUUGUUUUGUUUUUUCCCCCUCCUUUUAUAGCUGCACCAGUUGCAUGUGGAAGUUUCUAUGCUAGGGGUCAAAUCAGAACUGAAGCUUCGGCCUAUGCCACAGCCAUGGCAAUUCCAGAUUUGAGCUGCAUCUGUGACUUACACCACAGCUUGAAGCAAUACCAGAUCCCUAACCCAUUGAGCAAGACCAGCGAUCGAAUCCACAGCCUUGUAGAGACAAUGUCAGGUCCUGACCCCACUGAGCCACAUUGGGAACUCCAAGAAGGCAUUUUGCCUGAUACUCUAGACAAGGCACUUUUGGAAUACAGGCCACUAGAGCCUUAGUCUUUGACAAUAACUCCCUUUAGAGGCUGUCAUGCAUUGGUUGCAUACUCAGUCUGGUGUGGGGAGGCCAGAUUUUCCCUGUGAGGCCUGCAGGUGGACCCUUUGUAAUUGCCCAGGGUGGGGCCUUAAAAAUCACAUGUAGGUUUUUAGCCUGGGCUGGAUGUCUCAGCAUGCAAAACUGCUCUGGAGAGAAGGUCAAUCGCACAUGUUCUUUUCCUCUCCUGUGGUGAUUCUGAUGUGACCUGAUUCACAUAGAAUCAGUGAUUCUGAGUCUAUUUGGAAAAAACACACUGUGUGUUGUGACUGAUAGAAUUAUGAUCUCCAGCAUGUUGAGUUAGGGAAAAAAAAAAAAAAGAUGAAAUUACUAACCUACGUUUCUGACUAAACAUUGAAAAUGACGGUGGAGUUAAAACUCAUCAAUUCACAAGAUAAAAAACGAGUGGAAGGGAAGAAUAAUACUGAAUAGGAGUGAGCACAUAAUUGGAGACAGAAACUAUGAGGAUGUGGAUUUGAUCCUUGGCCUUGCUCAGUAGGCCUGGGGAUCCGGCAUUGCCAUGAGCUGUGGUGUAAGCUGCAGACAUGGCUCAGAUCCCAUAUUAUUGUGGCUGUGCCCUAGGCCAGCAACUGCAGCUCUGAUUUGACCCCCAGCCUGGGAACUUCCAUAUGCCUCAAGUGUGGACCUAAAAAGCAAAAACCAACCAAACAAAAACAAAAAAAUUGGAAAUUAAUUCAUGGCUCCAGAAAAAUUAGAAAAGGACACAGAAGCAUAGUACCUUUGGCUCAGUAGGAAAUGAUACUUAGUCAUGCUAAGGUAAACUUUGAUAAUGGAUUUAAUCUUAAACGGUGACAUCACUACACAGCAGAAGCUUGGGGAGCAAGUUGAAUAAGUUAAAUCCUCAUGAACGUAACCAGAAGUCAAAUUUAUGUUUAAAAUUAAGAAUGUUUAAAAUUAAGAAAUCAAAACACGAGAAUAUAAUUAUAUUUAUUUGGAAAUAAAAUUUAGAAGUGAAAUAAGGGCAGAAACACAUUAGAAUAAAAAAUUACCUCUGUUAUCCUGCAGCAGUGUUCAGAUAUAUGGAGAACUUCUGGGAAGAAAAGCUGGUUUUCUCUAUAAGACAUUUACUAUAUAAGAUCCAAACUGUAAAAUAGUGUCUAUGGUAAUCACUAUCAUGAAUUAAUCUCAUCAAUUUCUUUUACUUGUAAAAGAGCUAAAGUGAAUAUCAACUUCAUGUUUAAGUUGUGGUCACCAAAACGUAAUUUUUUGAAUAUAAUCAGUUGGUUGCUUGUCUUUUGGUCCUGGAUGUCUCAAUGUUUUCACGCUUCUGGAUGAAUGAAAACUAUGAAGACUUAUUAUCAUAAUUUUAUCACUUCCUAUUGUUUUUUCACAUAGAUCUUUCUGAUUCCUUCAUAGUCUACAGUUUUUCUGCAUUUUUUCACAGCUCAUAUAUAUAUUUUUAAAAUUAGGAUGUGUUUAUGGUAUUCCUCCAUAUAGACAUUAAGUUUCUUAAAGAACACUGUCAUGGAUUAAUUUUAUUAUAUUUUUUCCUCCCCACUAGGACUUACUACUCUGUAUUUUUCAUAA
This 5069-nucleotide long non-coding RNA is filed under the name Sus scrofa (pig). RNAcentral describes it as "lncRNA (ENSSSCG00035001480.1)". The record is from RNAcentral. Lineage: Eukaryota; Metazoa; Chordata; Mammalia; Artiodactyla; Suidae.